AAUGUGAGUAGAAGCGGUCAGUGCAGGCAACUGCGCGGGACAUUGCUCAGCAA
This is a regulatory RNA element of Rahnella aquatilis, 53 nucleotides long. It matches the Rfam family "Xanthine riboswitch aptamer (NMT1 RNA)". Rfam says of the family: Later it was reported as a ncRNA that recognised Xanthine. The record is from Rfam. Lineage: Bacteria; Pseudomonadati; Pseudomonadota; Gammaproteobacteria; Enterobacterales; Yersiniaceae.